AAAUAAAUUCAAGACUCUCAAAUUAGACAUUUUAAAUUUAUUGUAUUUUAAUUUUAAUUGUUUAAACUUUUUGGACAAACCUUUGCACAUUGGGCCAUUAUUAAAAAAUUAUGAGAAGCCCAAAAUUGUAGGACACUUGGCACCUAGGGUUUUAUUAUUUUAGGGUGGACCCCACCCUAAUUUAAGGACACAUGAUCCUGGAGAGAUACCAAGUUGCAGCUGUCACUUACAUUUCAUUUUUCUUUGGCUGGAACAUUUUUCUGAGGAGGGCAGUGUGGCUGGAACGUGUUUUUGGGGUGUGAAAGGGUUUUGAACAUGAUUUUCACUUUGAUGGGUAUUGGUUGAUGAGAAGCAUUUUUUUUUCUUUAUAUUUUGGAUGCAACGCUGCUGCANAGAUUGGCCACUCACGGUGCAUUACUCUUUUAUUUCAUUUCUUUACUUUGAAUGGAGAACAAGGUUUGCUUUUAAUUUUUAAUUGNUUGCAAUUGGUGUGCACACGGUCACAGCCACCAAAUCUUGGGUUAUUCAAUUGCUUUUGGAAAAAGUGCUGGAACCAUUUUAUUAUUCAUGAUUUUUGUUAACAUUUCUUUUAACAAUUAUUUUUCUUUGAAUGAGUAAGAAGUAGAAUAGAAGUGAUGGGACAUUGCAGAGGUGAAGUUUCUUUUUUUUUUUCUUUUCUUUAUUUCUUUAAGAAUGAUGAGUGAUUUGAUGGGAGAAGUUGGAUGAGGUACGGUGGUUGGCAUUUGGAGAAGAAGUUGCAAUUUUUUUUUUACUUGAAGAAAUGCAAGCAAAUCACGUCCANCAACUAUUUUAUUUUGGUUAAGAAAAGUUGGAGAAUGAAGCUGAACGGUAACAUUGCAUAAGGUGUCACGGCCAAGAGUUAGUUUUUAAAAAAAGCAAUUGCAUUUAUAAUU
Molecule: long non-coding RNA, 914 nt
Filed under: Vigna radiata
Lineage: Eukaryota; Viridiplantae; Streptophyta; Magnoliopsida; Fabales; Fabaceae
Description: long non-coding RNA (VRAD_LNC011769)
Source: RNAcentral